This is a long non-coding RNA of Hemicordylus capensis (graceful crag lizard), 583 nucleotides long. RefSeq lists it as uncharacterized. NCBI's taxonomy places the organism in Eukaryota, Metazoa, Chordata, Lepidosauria, Squamata, Cordylidae. The transcript is spliced from 2 exons. The record is from RefSeq and is a predicted model, not a curated record.
AGGAACACUAGCCAACAGAUCCAGGCAGAAGAUUGGCUCAGGUUCUGCAAGCAGCUGUUCAGCUUCCCACUUAGCCAGAGGGAAUAACACCACAGCCACACACGGCCUUGUGGAGAGCAGGUGACAGUGGCAAAAAAGCAGGAGGGCUGUGGAUGAGCAGAGAAGGAGCUGCUUACCUGCUUUUUAAGGGAACCGCUCACCGCCCUGCUGGUGGCUGCCCAAGCUGUUCGUGCACAUCCCUAAUCACAACUCUCCCAUGUGAGGUAUGCUUAUUAUUCAGGUUGUGCAGCCCAGAGGCAAUGUGCAUUUAUAUAAGGUGAGGACAGGGAGUUUCUAGCCAACUAGUCCUGCUCCCUUCUUAGGCAUAGGGUAUCAUGUUUGUGAUAUAAUUAAUAUAAUAUAAUGACUAGUGUAGUGUUGCACUAAGAGUUUCUUUCCUGCAGUACUACAGAUCCCAGCAGUCUUUGGAGCAGAGACAGGAAAUGGCAGCAUAGACAGAGUAGCAGACAGAGACUGGUCGGAAACAAAGGGUUAAUAAAUGUGCUAUGUUUAAUGAAGUUGUUUAUUAAAGACAUUAAUACAA